CCUACGGGAGGCAGCAGUGGGGAAUCUUGCGCAAUGGGGGCAACCCUGACGCAGCCAUGCCGCGUGAAUGAUGAAGGCCUUAGGGUUGUAAAGUUCUUUUGCCCGUGACGAUGAUGACGGUAACGGGAGAAUAAGCUCCGGCUAACUUCGUGCCAGCAGCCGCGGUAAUACGAAGGGGGCUAGCGUUGUUCGGAAUUACUGGGCGUAAAGCGCGCGCAGGCGGUUCGAUAAGUUAGGGGUGAAAUCCCUGGGCUCAACCCAGGAAUGGCCUUUAAGACUGUCGAGCUAGAGGACGAGAGAGGUGAGUGGAAUUCCCAGUGUAGAGGUGAAAUUCGUAGAUAUUGGGAAGAACACCGGUGGCGAAGGCGGCUCACUGGCUCGUUUCUGACGCUGAGGCGCGAAAGCGUGGGGAGCAAACAGGAUUAGAUACCCUGGUAGUCCACGCCCUAAACGAUGAGUGCCAGGUGUCGGGAAGCUUAGCUUCUCGGCGCCGCAGCUAACGCCUUAAGCACUCCGCCUGGGAGUACGGCCGCAAGGUUAAAACUCAAAGAGAGUAGACGUGUGAGAGCGACGACGACGACGACGGAGGAGGAGG
This 595-nucleotide ribosomal RNA is filed under the name uncultured bacterium. RNAcentral describes it as "bacterial SSU rRNA". It matches the Rfam family "Bacterial small subunit ribosomal RNA", at positions 338 to 956 of the family's 1533-position model. The record is from RNAcentral.